RNAcentral lists this ribosomal RNA (226 nucleotides) under uncultured bacterium. Its description in RNAcentral is "partial 16S ribosomal RNA". It matches the Rfam family "Bacterial small subunit ribosomal RNA", at positions 524 to 748 of the family's 1533-position model. The record is from RNAcentral.
UACGAAGGGGGCUAGCGUUGUCCGGAUUCAUUGGGCGUAAAGGGUGCGUAGGCGGCGCGGUAAGUCGGGUGUGAAAUCUCGGAGCUUAACUCCGAAACUGCAUUCGAUACUGCUGUGCUUGAGGACUGGAGAGGAGACUGGAAUUUACGGUGUAGCGGUGAAAUGCGUAGAUAUCGUAAGGAAGACCAGUGGCGAAGGCGGGUCUCUGGACAGUUCCUGACGGCUG